AUUGGACAAUGGGCGAAAGCCUGAUCCACCAAUGCCGCGUGAGUGAUGAAGGCCUUAGGGUUGUAAAGCUCUUUUACCCGGGAUGAUAAUGACAGUACCGGGAGAAUAAGCUCCGGCUAACUCCUUGCCCGCAACCCCGGUAAUACGGAGGGAGCUAG
This 158-nucleotide ribosomal RNA is filed under the name uncultured bacterium. RNAcentral describes it as "partial 16S ribosomal RNA". It matches the Rfam family "Bacterial small subunit ribosomal RNA", at positions 363 to 538 of the family's 1533-position model. The record is from RNAcentral.